UCUUGGUUUAGUUAGGAGGCGCAUAGCGAUGGGCAUGUGAUGCUCACUCAGGCCUUUUGAGGGGGCGCCUUUAACUAGAGGAGCCCCCCAAGCAGCCCUAGACAUUC
Small nucleolar RNA from Phragmites australis (common reed), 107 nucleotides. RefSeq annotates it as small nucleolar RNA U19. NCBI's taxonomy places the organism in Eukaryota, Viridiplantae, Streptophyta, Magnoliopsida, Poales, Poaceae. The transcript has a single exon. The record is from RefSeq and is a predicted model, not a curated record.